Molecule: long non-coding RNA, 11265 nt
Filed under: Fragaria vesca (wild strawberry)
Lineage: Eukaryota; Viridiplantae; Streptophyta; Magnoliopsida; Rosales; Rosaceae
Description: long non-coding RNA (FVES_LNC001447)
Source: RNAcentral
AUGUAUCCUAUCAUCGCACCCUUCUUUGUUUCACGCUUCCGAGAGGCAAUAUUCCACUUCUCUGCAUUGUUUGAUAUGUUUGAUUCCAAUUUGCCUCGUGAUGAUCAGAUGAGAUUGGGGUUUGAGAAAGAGUUUAUUGGACGUGAAGUUGUGAAUAUAGUAGCAUGUGAGGGCACUGAAAGAACUGUGAGGCCAGAAACAUAUAAGCAGUGGCAGGUACGGAACAUGAGGGCUGGGUUCAGGCAGCUGCCGUUGGACCGUGAGGUCAUGAACAAAAUAAAGGAUAAGGUAAAAAUGGGGUACAACCCUGAUUUUGUGGUUGAUGAAGAUGGCCGCUGGAUGCUGCAGGGAUGGAAGGGCAGAAUUAUGUGUGGUUCUGCCUGUUGGGCACCGUCUAAGAGUUGAAAUGCGUGAUUGUUAGAACUGACUCCCACAAUUUGUCAAAUAUAACUAAUCAAAAUUGAAGGUUGAGAGCAAGUUCUAGAAUCUGGUAGUUUUGGUAAAACAGGUUAAGUGUUAGAAUCAGCUUUGGUAAAACAAGUUUGAGGUAAGGGAAGUUUUGGGGAAUAGUUUUGUUUUGUAAACUUAUUAUCUUGCUCUUGAGUUGUAUAUGCUGCUGCUAAAAAUGGUUAUUGUGUUUAGCUUUUCAUCAUAUUAUUAUUUGAUACUAUGUAGAAAAUGAUGAAGAGAAAAAAUAAACUCUUUUAUUGAAUCAUUUAAGUUACAACCAAGUGUAUAUAUACAAGUCUAGCCAUACCUAGCCAUACCAGCCAUACUCAUGGCAGUAAGGUAGAUGACUUACUUACACAAGGUAUGGUGUAGUCAGCAUGCUACACCAUAUUUUAUUAUAGAGUAGGUAAGGUGAUGAACACUACAUCAUUCUUUACUGUAGACUACACCAUAUUUUCUCUACUGUAGAAUAGUAUGUUGAUUAUAUAUUUCUAUAUAUUUCAAUAGUUCUAAAAACCUUGUGUCUAGAAUUCUCUCUAGCUAGAUAGCUCUAGAAGUCAUAUGUUUCUAGUUCUUUCUCUAGUCUUAUUUAAAUUUAGUUUCAGCUGUGUUUUGGUAACAACACCAACAGACAAAGUUGCAGCCCUUGUAUUUGAGUAGUGAAAGUUUUUCCAAGUAAAGUUGUCUCUUGUUCUUUGUUUCUGGUGUUCUUCUUUGUUAUUGGUUUUGGUUCUGAGCAAGAGUAUUUUGUCCUCUCUUUGGUUGAAACCAACACGAAGGUGGACUCUCUACGACGGUCAAGUCUUAUCGAAAAGCUAUAGAUGACCUUAAGAAGCAAGAUGAAUCUGACCGAAAGGCGCGUAAGUCAGACCUGGGGGUCCUCUUGCAGCUUAAUUACAUGUUCAACUUAGCAACUGGCAAGUGGCGAACAGGUGGAUAGGUUAAUCCAACUCGGUGACCAGUGCACCGAAACUCAUAGACGGAUCCAGGCUUAAUGUUUCUAUUUUCAAGCUCUUUGCAUCUUGAUCAAAUUCUGGUUUAUCAUUUGCAGCAAUUUCCAACUAUGAGCUUUCCAACAACUAAUGUUUAUGCUUCUUUAGACUAUACAAGUACUUCAAAAAUUAAAGAUCUAAUACAUUAAUGAAAUGAUGAAGGAUGUGCCGUAGAGACCGGAACCCAUGACCAACACAUCUGUAGCCCUGGAGGGCAGUUUCUAUAUCGGUUGAAAGCUAAAACCCCAGCCAAAGUCAUCAUCCAAAAAGAAGAAUAAACCCAAAUUAGUCAAAUUGAGAGCUCCAUAUGUCUGAGACUUUUAAGUCUUCCGAGACUUUUAGUCGGAAAAAAAAUAAAACUAAAAACUAUUUCCGAGGCUAUAUUCUUAUUCUAGUGGUUGCUUUCGUAGCUCAGACUGUAAGCUUAGCUGGUUUAGUAUAAUUGUAAAAAACCUUUCUGUUAAAUUCAUUCCUGCUAGGCUGCUAAUUACUCAGAAAUUUACAAAGCUUUCUUCUUGUUCUUCAGUUCUCUCUCUUUUUCAUUCAAGCUUAUCUACCUCAGCUAUCAGCCUGAGAGCUCCAUCUCCUCUGCUUCGAACUCAUCUCUUUUGACGCGCACUUGCGAUCAGGGUUUGGCAUAUCUCUCUCUCUCAGGUAAGCAGACUCUUCAAACCCAAAACUCGCAUCAAUUUGCUUCUUCAUUUCACCCAACUGGAAUUGGGUUUCCUUCAAUUUUGUGAAUUUCAAAAUAAUGGAUUCACCUUUCUCUGAAUAUCCCAAUUUCAACGAUCAAACCCUUUUACUCGAUAUUGUUAGGAUUGUGGCUCAAAACUAAUUCCUUGUCUGUUUUGGAUUCUUUACUUCUGAAGGUUUUGGGUAAGUUAUUCUAGUGUAUCUAGGAUUCUUAGAGUUUAUCCUUAGGAGUAAAGGUUUAGGAUUCUUGCUAUGGUUCUAAAUCCUAUUGUAAGUCAAACUAAUUGAGAGUCUAUAAAUAGGACAUUAGAGACAUAGUUUUAGGUGUGGAUCAAUUGAGAGUUUAGAGUAUUCGAGAGUUGCAAGCUUUGAGAGUUUGGGUGAUUUAAGAGUUCUCUGUUGAGAAUCUAGAGUGUGAGGAGAGAGGUUAUUUGAGGGUGGAAGAACCGUAUUGUUCUUCAGUUGUAAUCUUCUUCUCAUUUAGUGGAUCCACCAUCACCAUCACCGGAGGACGUAGGUCAACUGUUUUGACCGAACCUCGUUAAUAUCUUGUGUUCGCUUGCAUUGAUUUUGGUUAUUGUCUUCAUUCAGUUACGAUCUUGGGCUAGGGAAUUCGGAGGUGACCCGGAUUUCCUAUCAAAGUGGUAUCUAGAGCCUGUGUUCCGUGAGCUAAGCGGAAAGAUGGCGGGGAUUGAAGACGUCGAGAAAAGGGUUGACAAGUUUGAUGGGCAUGAUUUUGUUAUGUGGAGGUCUCAGAUAACUGACUAUCUAAAUGUCAAGAAGUUGUCCAAGCCUUUGCUUGGAGUUAAGCCACAGGGCAUGAAAAAUGUGGAUUGGGAGGAGCUUGACACUCAAGCUUUAGGAGCUAUUCGACUAUCGCUAUCAAAUGAAGUUCGGCGCGAUGUGAUACAUGAGAAAACUACUAAAGGGUUAAUGGAUACCCUCUCAGAGAUCUUUGAGAAGCCAAGCGCAGUUGAGCAGGUGCACUUAUUGAGGAAGUUGUUUUCAAUGAAGAUGGCCAAAGGUGGCUCUAUGCGAAGACAACAAGCAGCGGUUUGUGAUAUUGUCGAACAAUUGGCUACUGUGGAUAUCAUAAUUGGAGAACACCUCAAGGCGUUGGUGUUGCUGACCUCCAUGCCAGAUACUUGGGAUGUUACUGUCAACUCUAUUUGCAGUUCAGCUGGGAAGAAUAAGUUGGUCUACAACGAAGUUCGGGAUACCUUGUUGAGUGAGGAAACUAGGAGGAAGAAGAAUGAUGAUGAAGAGUCGCCUGCGACUACAUCUGCUUUGCUUGUAAGAGGAAGAUCUAGUGUAAAGGAGGGUACGAAUUGUGGUAGAUCAAAGUCGAGGAGUUUUAGAGAUCAAGAUAGAGACAAAGAUAAGGAGUGCUUUUACUGUCAUGAUUUUGGGCAUAUUAGGUAUAAUUGUCCAAAAUUGAAGUCGAAGAGAGCUACUACUGCAAUGGUAGCAAGUGAAGAUGAUGGAGAAUAUUAUGGAGAUGCGCUCAUGGUCACAUCAUGUUUAGAGACGCCACAUGAUGAGUGGAUUUUGGAUACUGGUUGUUCUGAACACAUGUGUCCCAAUAGGGAUUGGUUUUCUUCCUACAAGUCUGUGAAGGGAGGUCUAGUGAGGUCGGUUGGUGCACAAACCUACAAAGUUGCUGGUGUUGGAACAAUCAAAAUUAAGGUACAUGAUGGAUCAGUGAGGAGUUUAGAGAAUGUUCUCCAUGUUCCUAAGUUGGAUAGGAAUCUGAUAUCUUUGGGAACUUUAGAUUCGGAAGGCCACAAGAUUGUUGGUCAUGAUGGAAAUAUGAAAGUUUUGAAGGGGCACUCGUAGUAAUGAAAGGUAAGAAGGUAAAUGGUCUCUAUCGUUUAGAAGGGAGCUUUGUUCGAGGUGGAACAUGUGGUUCCGUUAAGAGUUUUGUUCGAGGUGGAAAGAUUGGCAAUCUUGGUUCCUAUUGGCAUUCAAGGGAGAUGAGCAGUAGUAAAUGCGGAGGAAUGAAAUCAGCUUCUAAAAAGGUGAAAUUUGAGGAGCAACCAACAUUGCAGCAGUCCUUAAAAGGAGGUAGACCCAUAAGGAUCCCGACACAAGUUUGUGGUGGAGAUAUGCUAGUUCAUGCAUAUUCCACAAUUGAGGUGUCACCUACUUCAGUGAGUAGUGAGAAAGUUGAGAAGCAAACUUGGUGUUUUAAGAGUGAUGCGUCUAGAGAAGAUAUCGUUCAUGGUGGAGAAUAUGUUCAGAGGAAUGUUGCUCGUGGUGAGUUGUGCAAACCGUUGAAGAUCGCUCCCAUUAGGUUUGACAACUUUAGUGGAGACUUGGAUUGCAUGCAAGUGGCUGCGCUAUGCAUGUUUGAGGGAAAGAGUUCAUGUCCAAGGGUCAAGUUUGAGUGUUUCUCAAACAUGGCUAACUCGUCUUGCUGUUGAGGGCGCCAUGUGGCACAUUGAGGUGUGAUGGUGAUCGUGGCUCGUUGAGAAGAGUCAAGGAAGCUUGCGUUUAGUGGAAGGUUGGAGAUUUUGAGCCGAGGUGGAAAUUGUUAGGAUUGCGGCUCAAAACUAAUUCCUUGUUUGUUUUGGAUUCUUUACUUCUGAAGGUUUUGAGUAAGUUAUUCUAGUGUAUCUAGGAUUCCUAGAGUUUAUCCUUAGGAGUAAAGGUUUAGGAUUCUUGCUAUGGUUCUAAAUCUUAUUGUAAGUCGAACUAGUUGAGAGUCUAUAAAUAGGACAUUAGAGACAUAGUUUUAGGUGUGGAUCAAUUGAGAGUUUAGAGUAUUCGAGAGUUGCAAGCUUUGAGAGUUUGGGUGAUUUAAGAGUUCUCUGUUGAGAAUCUAGAGUGUGAGGAGAGAGGUUAUUUGAGGGUGGAAGAACCGUAUUGUUCUUCAGUUGUAAUCUUCUUCUCGUUUAGUGGAUCCACAAUCACCAUCACCGGAGGACGUAGGUCAACUGUUUUGACCGAACCUCGUUAAUAUCUUGUGUUCGCUUGCAUUGAUUUUGGUUAUUGUCUUCAUUCAGUUACGAUCUUGGGCUAGGGAAUUCGGAGGGUGACCCGGAUUUCCUAUCAGAUAUGUUGAACGAGUACCCAAGUGUUGACCCUUUUGAUCAUCUUAGCUUUUUGGACCCAAACCCCAUGAACUCUGCUCUGUCUUCGAGCUUUAGCCCUGUAGGAGAUGAUGGUGAGUUUUCUAACACUGUGAUCAAGCACAUAAAUCAGGUGCUUAUGGAGGAGGACAUGGAGCCAACACCAUGUCUGUUCCCUGAUCGUUUGGUUCUUCAAGCCACUGAGGAGUCUCUUUAUGAGAUUAUUGGAGGAGGGAAGUGCUCAACUUCCCAAGACCAAAACCCUCUUUGGGUUGAUCAAAAUGAGUAUGGAAAUGAGAUGGUGGGUUCUUAUAGGAGUGAGCUUAUGGUUCCUGAUGAGGUUAGUAAGAAGGAAUUGUUAGUGCAAUUUGACCGAGGGGCAGAGGACGGUAGUAAGUUUCUUCCUAGAGGUCAGUUGAUUACGGCGGAGGACAACAAGCCGUAUAAUGUGGCGAAUAGCAAGGCAGGAAAUGUGGUUGUUACAACCCAGAAGAAUGGAAGUGAGCAUGUCCGUGUUGGUUCAAGAGGAAAGAAUAGUCAUCUGAGGGAGGAGAUAGAGUUGGAGGAUGGGAGGAAUGACAAGCAAUCUGUGGUUUAUGUGGAUGAUGAGGAGGGUGAGCUGUCUGAUAGUUUCGGCAAGGCGUUGCUCAGCGGUAAGGCUGUUGAAAGUAAAGAGGAUCAAGUCUGUCAGAAUGGAGCUAACAAUGGCCAGCAGCAGGAUGUGCUAGUCAGUCAGAAGGCUUGUGGCAUGAAACGAGGCAACAAGAAGGAAGUGAUAGAUUUGAGGCGUCUUCUGAUUUCAUGUGCAGAAGCUGUUGCUGUUGAUGAUCGAUGGACUGCUAGUGAGCUACUAAAGCAAAUUAGGUUAUGCGAUGAAAGGUGGUUUCGACGUGGAUGUUGCGUUAUGUAAUAGUGUGUUGGAUAUGUAUUCGAAAUGUGGUGAUUUGAGUGAUGCAUUGAGAGUUUUUGAGAAGAUGGGUCGAAGAAGUGUUUUGUCGUGGACUUCAAUGAUAGCCGGUUAUGUUAGAGAAGCUCUUUCGGAUAAGGCAAUUGAGUUGUUUUGUGAAAUGGAAACGGAUGGUGUUAUCCCAGAUGUUUAUACAAUCACAAGCAUACUUCAUGCAUGUGCUUGUAGCGGCUCAUUGGAAAAGGGUAAGGAUAUACACAAGUAUAUUAGGGAACAUGAUAUGGACUCGAGUUUGUUUGUCUGUAAUUCGCUCAUGGAUAUGUAUGCAAAAUGUGGAAGCAUGGAAGAUGCUGACUCAGUUUUUUCUCAUAUGCCUAUGAAGGACAUCGUGUCAUGGAAUACCAUGAUCGGAGGUUACUCCAAGAACUGCCUUCCAAACGAAGCUCUUGAACUCUUUUCUGAUAUGCAACGGAAAUUUAAACCUGACAGCAUGACCCUUGCCAGUGUCCUUCCUGCUUGUGCAAGCCUAGCAGCUCUCGACAGAGGUCAAGAGAUCCAUGGUUAUUUACUGAGACAUGGAUACUUUUUGGAUCAAUAUGUUGCCAAUGCACUUGUUGACAUGUAUGUCAAGUGCGGGGUGCUAAUUCUUGCUCGGGUACUUUUUGAAAUGAUUCCUGUGAAAGAUCUGAUCUCUUAUACUGUGAUAAUUGCUGGUUAUGGGAUGCAUGGAUUUGGAAAGGAAGCAAUUGCUGCAUUCAAUGAGAUGACAAAGGCUGAAAUUGAACCGGACAGCAUUUCCUUCAUCUCUAUACUUUAUGCUUGCAGUCAUUCUGGAUUGGUUCAGGAAGGAUGGAGAUUCUUUGAUAUUAUGAGAAAUGAUUACAAAAUCGAGCCCAUGUUGGAGCAUUAUGCUUGUAUGGUGGAUCUUCUUGCUCGGACUGGGAAUCUAACCAAGGCAUAUAAAUUUAUUAACAUGAUGCCAAUUGAGCCAGAUGCCACAGUCUGGGGUUCCUUGCUCUGUGGUUGUAGGAUUCACCAUGAUGUGAAACUAGCAGAGAAAGUUGCAGAGCAUGUCUUUGAACUAGAGCCAGAAAACACUGGCUAUUAUAUACUUCUAGCAAAUAUUUAUGCAGAGGCAGAAAAGUGGGAAGAGGUGAAGAAGUUGAGGGAGAGGAUUGGUCGGCGAAGCUUGAAAAAGAAUCCGGGCUGUAGUUGGAUAGAGAUCAAGGGAAAAGUUAAUAUCUUUGUUGCAGGAGGCACUUCACACCCAGAUGCCAUGAAGAUAGAGUCCCUAGUGAAGAAAUUUAGAUCGAGGAUGAAGGAAGAUGGCUACAAUCCUAAAAUGCAGUACGCUUUGAUUAAUGCAGAUGAGGUGGAGAAAGAAGUGGCUCUCUGUGCGCAUAGUGAGAAAUUAGCCAUAGCAUUCGGGAUACUGAACACGCCACCCAGAAAAACCAUACGAGUGACCAAGAAUCUACGAGUCUGUGGCGACUGCCAUGAGAUGGCCAAGUUCAUAUCCAGAACAUCUAGGAGGGAAUUGUUUUGAGAGAUUCUAACCGCUUUCAUCAUAUGAAGGAUGGGAAUUGUUCAUGUAGGGGCUUCUGGUAAACUGAAGUUGGACUUGAAAUGUAAAAGGACACCUCAUUUGAUUCUUUAACUUGAUGUGUUCUCAAACACUAAGCGGGACAUGAGAUUGUUUUCGACCAACAGAUUGGAAGAACUCUAAGUAGGCAUUUGAGUUGGGAAUGAAUCAUGUAUUGGGUCAGUUUGGAAAACAUGCUUGUUUGGUUAUUCCGAGCAGUUUUGCAGUGGAUGACAAAGGGUUAAGUGAGCAUGGAUUUAUCAGUUUGUCCAGGUUCUGCUGUUUCCCUUCGUUNNNNNNNNNNNNNNNNNNNNAAGUCGAAUUGACUGAAUGAGAUGAUAUGGGUAGUGAGCCCAAUAUAUAAUUUGUGCUAGAAGUUAUAUGAUAAGCAGCAUAUAUAACUAGUAGAUGAUAGUGUGACACGUGACCAGCGUGUAUGCACGUCAACCAACACCAUAAAAUAUCAAAGAUGUCCGCAAGUUAGUUGAAUUUGUCUACAGAAUCCCCUUGGAUUCAAUGUAAUUUAGAACAUUAUAUAUGAGAAUACAUGUGUCCUUUUCAUAGGAUGAAUCUCAAUCCUAAUUUUCCAAAGAAAUAGGCUUUACAAAAUGAGUGAUUAAUUGGCUUUCAGAAGUAACCAAUGAAGAUUUUGGUUUAGCCAUAAAGUCAUAAUUGACUUGAGAAUAGGGAACGAUUGCACCAACAUGUGCAUCAAAAAUGUCCCAAAGCCGCUUAGGGGAAGCGGCGGCAUUUUUAUACAAGUAGCAAUAUGCCUUUUGAACCAUAUUCUUUUGGUUCUUGCUUCUUCUCACUCAAAAUAAUGGAUGUCCAUGUGAUAUUUUUAUUUUCAAUAUACGGAUCAUCAUACCAUGACCAUGAUAUCUUAAUUUGUCAUGUUAAAACCUAUAUGUGUCAUAAUCCCAAUGUCAUCUCAUAUGACAUUGUUAGAUUCAACAAUUAUAAUAGUGGUUACAACUUAACCCACUAAUGACACAUAAUCUUCUCUAAUACUCGUGUACAUCCGUAGUCAUUAGAGGUAAUGCAAACGAACUCAUGUCCAUUCUCUCUUAUGCGUUUUCACAUGAUAAUUGUUGGCAAUAUAUCUUUUAGUGCUGAUAAGGGUUCGAUUAGCUUUUGGAGCAUAAAAAGCUUCAAUGAUAAUAAUCAUAGUGCCAUAAAGACAAGAAUUUGACCCAUCUAUCGCUCGUUUUUUAUUAGUUGUAAUGAUUCAAUCAUUUGAGUCACAAAGGGAUUAUAAGACAUUAUUCCACAAAUAAUUAUCUGCUUUUAGGUAUUGUGUGGGUAGUCAUACUAUCGACUUUAAAUAUUUGAUCUCUCCAAGUAACAUACUGGCAAAUUAUAGGAGAUUAGUCAACAAAUGUUCAAGACAUACAGUGAGGGUAAAUAUACUCAAAUAAACAAUUUUUUUUCUGUUACGAUGAACAGUACCUUGUUGACUUUUUUUUGGUUCAGCUGACUUUUCGUCAGAGUUGACCUUUUUCGACACAGUUGACUUUUUCGUCAUAGUUGACUUUCACUUUUUUCAAUUCUUUGUCGAAAAUAUUUUGUCACGUACCCUUUUAACUCAUAUUACCACACCAUGUGCAUUUAUGGUGGAAUUAUUUAUUUCUUUCGAACCAUAUAUCAGAAUAAGACAUGAUCACAGCUUUGAAUAUGCCAUUGCAAUAACAAAUUCAAAUAAAGCUCAAAUCUCAUAGAAAUAUAUUCGAGACUUUAUUAAUAUGCCAACGUACACAUCGAGGUUUUGUAAUCAAAAUCUAAUCCAAAUAAUAAAAAUCAUGACCAAACGUCAUUUAUGAAUUGAGGCAUAGAAGUAUGUACAAGUAUUCUUGGAAAAUAAUGUUCUAAUCAAAAUCUGCAACAUCAAUGUGUUCUUUGCCAGAUUUGAAGUAUGUAAUAGUGAGAUUGACGUCAUUGCCAUCUCCAUCUUCUUCUUAGCUGCAUGAUGAGCAUUUGCUCUCUUAUAUAUUUAUAUACUUUAUAUUGUGCAGCUAAUUUAGCACUUGCCUUGCAAUGCUCAAAAUUAAUGCUUAUUAGAUCAAUGUCUAUAGCAUAUAUACCUCAUCUUCAAAUACCAAGCCAUGUCAUGGCAUUAAGGUGGUUCUCGAUGUCAGUCACCCAUUGGUGAUAUUCAANNNNNNNNNNNNNNNNNNNNNNNNNNNNNNNNNNNNNNNNNNNNNNNNNNAUCUUUUUGGUGGUGUCAUGAUAUAGGUCCUCAGAGACGGUCGAUGGACUGAGCAAGAUGCUUCAAUUUUGGUUCCAGGAGACAUAAUCAGCAUUAAGUUGGGAGAUAUAGUGCCUGCUGAUGCUCGCCUUCUUGAGGGUGAUCCUCUCAAGAUUGACCCAACUCGCAUCAAAUUGCUUCUUCAUUUCACCCAACUGGAAUUGGGUUUCCUUCAAUUUUGUGAAUUUCAAAAUCAUGGAUUCACCUUUCUCUGAAUAUCCCAAUUUCAACGAUCAAACCCUUUUACUCGAUAUGUUGAACGAGUACCCAAGUGUUGACCUUUUUGAUGAUCUUAGCUUUUUGGACCCAAACCCCAUGAACUCUGCUCUGUCUUCGAGCUUUAGCCCUGUAGGAGAUGAUGGUGAGUUUUCUAACACUGUGAUCAAGCACAUAAAUCAGGUGCUUAUGGAGGAGGACAUGGAGCCAACACCAUGUCUGUUCCCUGAUCCUUUGGUUCUUCAAGCCACUGAGGAGUCUCUUUAUGAGAUUAUUGGAGCAGGGAAGUGUUCAACUUCCCUAGACCAAAACCCUCUUUGGGUUGAUCAAAAUGAGUAUGGAAAUGGAAAUGAGAUGGUGGGUUCUUAUAGGAGUGAGCUUAUGGUUCGUGAUGCGGUUAGUAAGAACAAAUUGUUGGUCCAGGGGCAGAGGAUGGUAGUAAGUUUCUUCUUAGAGGUGAGUUGAUUACAGCGGAGGGCAACAAGCCGUAUACUGUGGCGAAUAGCAAGGCAGGAAAUGUGGUUGUUAGGACCCAGAAGAAUGGAAGUGAGCAUGUCCGUGUUGGUUCAAGAGGAAAUAAUAGUCAUCUGAGGGAGGAGGUAGAGUUGGAGGAUGGGAGGAAUGACAAGCAAUCUGUGGUUUAUGUGGAUGAUGAGGAGGGUGAGCUGUCUGAUAGUUUUGGCAAGGCGUUGCUCGGCGGUAAGGCUGUUGAAAGUAAAGAGGAUCAAGUCUGUCAAAAUGGAGCUAACAAUGGCCUGCAGCAGGAUGUGCUAGUCAGUCAGAAGGCUUGUGGCAUGAAACGAGGCAACAAGAAGGAAGUGAUAGAUUUGAGGGGUCUUCUGAUUUCAUGUGCAGAAGCUGUUGCUGUUGAUGAUCGAGGGACUGCUAGUGAGCUACUAAAGCAAAUUAGGCAGCACUCUUCCCCAUUUGGUGAUUAUACUCAGAGGUUGUCUCAUUGCUUUGCAAAUGCUCUUGAAGCGUGGUUGGCUGGCACUGGAAGUGAACUAUAUACUACUUUGGCUACUAAACGAGCGUCGGCUGUAUUAGGAAAGUAAUCUCUUGUAUCUUAUUGUAUCUUGGUUAUCUUGUUGUUUAGGAAAGUAUCAAUU